UGACCCCAGGUCAGGCGGGAUUACCCGC
Molecule: ribosomal RNA, 28 nt
Filed under: Podostemum ceratophyllum
Lineage: Eukaryota; Viridiplantae; Streptophyta; Magnoliopsida; Malpighiales; Podostemaceae
Also listed under: 2 other names
Description: partial 26S ribosomal RNA
Source: RNAcentral